RNAcentral lists this ribosomal RNA (1538 nucleotides) under Klebsiella pneumoniae. RNAcentral's name for it is "bacterial SSU rRNA". It matches the Rfam family "Bacterial small subunit ribosomal RNA". The record is from RNAcentral. Lineage: Bacteria; Pseudomonadati; Pseudomonadota; Gammaproteobacteria; Enterobacterales; Enterobacteriaceae.
AAAUUGAAGAGUUUGAUCAUGGCUCAGAUUGAACGCUGGCGGCAGGCCUAACACAUGCAAGUCGAGCGGUAGCACAGAGAGCUUGCUCUCGGGUGACGAGCGGCGGACGGGUGAGUAAUGUCUGGGAAACUGCCUGAUGGAGGGGGAUAACUACUGGAAACGGUAGCUAAUACCGCAUAACGUCGCAAGACCAAAGUGGGGACCUUCGGGCCUCAUGCCAUCAGAUGUGCCCAGAUGGGAUUAGCUAGUAGGUGGGGUAAUGGCUCACCUAGGCGACGAUCCCUAGCUGGUCUGAGAGGAUGACCAGCCACACUGGAACUGAGACACGGUCCAGACUCCUACGGGAGGCAGCAGUGGGGAAUAUUGCACAAUGGGCGCAAGCCUGAUGCAGCCAUGCCGCGUGUGUGAAGAAGGCCUUCGGGUUGUAAAGCACUUUCAGCGGGGAGGAAGGCGAUAAGGUUAAUAACCUUGUCGAUUGACGUUACCCGCAGAAGAAGCACCGGCUAACUCCGUGCCAGCAGCCGCGGUAAUACGGAGGGUGCAAGCGUUAAUCGGAAUUACUGGGCGUAAAGCGCACGCAGGCGGUCUGUCAAGUCGGAUGUGAAAUCCCCGGGCUCAACCUGGGAACUGCAUUCGAAACUGGCAGGCUAGAGUCUUGUAGAGGGGGUAGAAUUCCAGGUGUAGCGGUGAAAUGCGUAGAGAUCUGGAGGAAUACCGGUGGCGAAGGCGGCCCCCUGGACAAAGACUGACGCUCAGGUGCGAAAGCGUGGGGAGCAAACAGGAUUAGAUACCCUGGUAGUCCACGCCGUAAACGAUGUCGAUUUGGAGGUUGUGCCCUUGAGGCGUGGCUUCCGGAGCUAACGCGUUAAAUCGACCGCCUGGGGAGUACGGCCGCAAGGUUAAAACUCAAAUGAAUUGACGGGGGCCCGCACAAGCGGUGGAGCAUGUGGUUUAAUUCGAUGCAACGCGAAGAACCUUACCUGGUCUUGACAUCCACAGAACUUUCCAGAGAUGGAUUGGUGCCUUCGGGAACUGUGAGACAGGUGCUGCAUGGCUGUCGUCAGCUCGUGUUGUGAAAUGUUGGGUUAAGUCCCGCAACGAGCGCAACCCUUAUCCUUUGUUGCCAGCGGUCCGGCCGGGAACUCAAAGGAGACUGCCAGUGAUAAACUGGAGGAAGGUGGGGAUGACGUCAAGUCAUCAUGGCCCUUACGACCAGGGCUACACACGUGCUACAAUGGCAUAUACAAAGAGAAGCGACCUCGCGAGAGCAAGCGGACCUCAUAAAGUAUGUCGUAGUCCGGAUUGGAGUCUGCAACUCGACUCCAUGAAGUCGGAAUCGCUAGUAAUCGUAGAUCAGAAUGCUACGGUGAAUACGUUCCCGGGCCUUGUACACACCGCCCGUCACACCAUGGGAGUGGGUUGCAAAAGAAGUAGGUAGCUUAACCUUCGGGAGGGCGCUUACCACUUUGUGAUUCAUGACUGGGGUGAAGUCGUAACAAGGUAACCGUAGGGGAACCUGCGGUUGGAUCACCUCCUUA